RNAcentral lists this ribosomal RNA (253 nucleotides) under uncultured bacterium. RNAcentral's name for it is "partial 16S ribosomal RNA". It matches the Rfam family "Bacterial small subunit ribosomal RNA", at positions 524 to 776 of the family's 1533-position model. The record is from RNAcentral.
GACGAACCGUGCGAACGUUGUUCGGAUUCACUGGGCUUAAAGGGCGCGUAGGCGGGCCAGCAUGUCCGGGGUGAAAUCUUUCGGCUUUACCGGAAAAGGGCUUCGGAAACGGCUGGUCUUGAGGGAGGUAGGGGCAGGUGGAACUUCCGGUGGAGCGGUGAAAUGCGUUGAGAUCGGAAGGAACGCCGGUGGCGAAAGCGACCUGCUGGACCUCUUCUGACGCUGAGGCGCGAAAGCCAGGGGAGCAAACGGG